This 253-nucleotide ribosomal RNA is filed under the name uncultured bacterium. Its description in RNAcentral is "partial 16S ribosomal RNA". It matches the Rfam family "Bacterial small subunit ribosomal RNA", at positions 524 to 776 of the family's 1533-position model. The record is from RNAcentral.
UACAGGGGGGGCAAGCGUUGUUCGGAAUUACUAGGCGUAAAGGGUUCGUAGGUGGCCACUUAAGUCAGACGUGAAAUCCCUCAGCUUAACUGGAAAACAGCCCCUGAUACUGCGAGUCUCGAGGGAGGUAGGGGCAUGUGGAACUUCCGGUGGAGCGGUGAAAUGCGUAGAUAUCGGAAGGAACGCCGGUGGCGAAAGCGACGUGCUGGACCUCUUCUGACGCUGAGGCGCGAAAGCUAGGGGAGCAAACGGG